UACGGAGGGUGCAAGCGUUAUCCGGAUUCACUGGGUUUAAAGGGUGCGUAGGCGGGCAGAUAAGUCAGCGGUGAAAUCCCCGAGCUUAACUUGGGAACUGCCGUUGAUACUAUUUGUCUUGAAUGUCGUGGAGGUUAGCGGAAUAUGUCAUGUAGCGGUGAAAUGCUUAGAUAUGACAUAGAACACCCAUUGCGAAGGCAGCUAACUACGCGGAUAUUGACGCUGAGGCACGAAAGCGUGGGGAUCAAACAGG
This 253-nucleotide ribosomal RNA is filed under the name uncultured bacterium. RNAcentral describes it as "partial 16S ribosomal RNA". It matches the Rfam family "Bacterial small subunit ribosomal RNA", at positions 524 to 776 of the family's 1533-position model. The record is from RNAcentral.